GCUGGAGUGGCAGAUAAAUGCAGUUGGUUUAAGCCCUUCUCAUGGGCCUACGGGCCCCUCUAGCU
RNAcentral lists this transfer RNA (65 nucleotides) under Glottidia pyramidata. RNAcentral describes it as "tRNA-Leu". The record is from RNAcentral. Lineage: Eukaryota; Metazoa; Brachiopoda; Lingulata; Lingulida; Lingulidae.